Molecule: ribosomal RNA, 305 nt
Filed under: uncultured bacterium
Lineage: Bacteria
Description: partial 16S ribosomal RNA
Rfam family: Bacterial small subunit ribosomal RNA
Source: RNAcentral
ACAGCAGCAGCCGCGGUAAUACGAAGGUCCCGAGCGUUGUUCGGAAUCACUGGGCGUAAAGGGAGCGUAGGCGGCGUGGUAAGUCAGAUGUGAAAUCCCGGGGCUCAACCCCGGAACUGCAUCCGAUACUGCCAUGCUAGAGGAUUGGAGAGGCAGCUGGAAUUCUUGGUGUAGCAGUGAAAUGCGUGGAGAUCAAGAGGAACACUCGUGGCGAAAGCGAGCUACUGGACAAUAACUGACGCUGAGGCUCGAAGGCCAGGGUAGCGAAAGGGAUUAGAUACCCGGGUAGUCCCUGUCUCUUAUAC